This 497-nucleotide ribosomal RNA is filed under the name uncultured bacterium. RNAcentral describes it as "partial 16S ribosomal RNA". It matches the Rfam family "Bacterial small subunit ribosomal RNA", at positions 28 to 507 of the family's 1533-position model. The record is from RNAcentral.
GAUGAACGCUGGCGGCGUGCCUAAUACAUGCAAGUCGAGCGAACAGACGAGGAGCUUGCUCCUCUGACGUUAGCGGCGGACGGGUGAGUAACACGUGGAUAACCUACCUAUAAGACUGGGAUAACUUCGGGAAACCGGAGCUAAUACCGGAUAAUAUGUUGAACCGCAUGGUUCAACAGUGAAAGACGGUCUUGCUGUCACUUAUAGAUGGAUCCGCGCCGCAUUAGCUAGUUGGUAAGGUAACGGCUUACCAAGGCAACGAUGCGUAGCCGACCUGAGAGGGUGAUCGGCCACACUGGAACUGAGACACGGUCCAGACUCCUACGGGAGGCAGCAGUAGGGAAUCUUCCGCAAAGGGCGAAAGCCUGACGGAGCAACGCCGCGUGAGUGAAGAAGGUCUUCGGAUCGUAAAACUCUGUUAUUAGGGAAGAACAAAUGUGUAAGUAACUAUGCACGUCUUGACGGUACCUAAUCAGAAAGCCACGGCUAACUACGUG